RNAcentral lists this long non-coding RNA (1937 nucleotides) under Nicotiana tabacum (common tobacco). RNAcentral describes it as "long non-coding RNA (NTAB_LNC012698)". The record is from RNAcentral. Lineage: Eukaryota; Viridiplantae; Streptophyta; Magnoliopsida; Solanales; Solanaceae.
CCUUAAGCUAUAAGAGAUCAGGUUUAAAAGAUUAAAUGGAAAGCAAAACAUGGCUCCAGUCUGUUAGACCCAAAACCUGAACUAAUAUGCAUUUGGACCAUGGCCAUGAAAGGCACAUCCACAACCAAACAGUUUCAGCUAAUCAACUAAGAGUCACAGUCCUUAAUUAGUACAUAUUCAGAAAAAACCUAAGCAGCCUUGAAUCAACUAUAUUCAAACAAGCUCAAAGCCAAGCCUUAAAACAAAAAUGAAACUCACAUAAGAAACUAAACUAAAACAUGAAUAACGAUAUGGUAGAAUUUAACACAACAAAGACUGCUAUUUUCAUUUAAUCCCAAUUCGGUCACAGAUCUUCGAACAAAGCUUAAUCAGGCUUUAUUUCCAUCAUGGUUCAAAAAGAUACCUGGAAAGCAAAGAAAAUAAGAAGAGUGAUGGAUCAGCAGCAGCAAAGCAGUACCAGCAGCAAUGUAACAGUGCUUAACCAGCUGAAACCAACCCAGACUUCAAACCAACUCCAAACAACUCGAAUCAAACUUCUAAAAUUAGACUCAAUUCAUUUUUCCACCCAUAUGCACAACUAUGGAACUUUUCAGUGAUUUUAACUAAGGAAUGAGGAUCAGAAAACCAAAACCAACAACAAUUUAGUAGUUUUCAACCAGAAAAGUGUCAGGAAUUAAGAGUGCCCCUGUUUUUGUUUUUCAGGGGUCUUUUUAUCUCUUCCCCACCUGACUUGAAUAGCAAGCCUUAGUGCCUUUACAGGCAAGGCAUUAGGGCAGCUUAAAGAUAUCAGUCUUUGCAUUUUGCCCCUUUUUCAAUUUUGGUUUUUGCUUACAUACCCCUAAUGUAAAAUUCAGAAUUUCAAAAUAGUCCCAAAUCUCCUUUCCUGGAAGCUUCCUAUUCAGCUACUACAAAUUCCCUCACCUAGAUAUCCUAAUCUAACCCUCGAAACUCUGUUAAUUACCCCUCCCCCCCGGAGAACUCAAAUGGGUUAUGGUUCAAGUUGACCCAACGGUUUAACUAGGUUAACAAGCUGCCCUUCUUUUGCAAAUGGGUCAGACCCAUAGCCCAAACAGCUAAAUAAACUCAACCUAAUCAGUAACAAAAGAAAACACAAAUGACUUCCAAAACCUAAACUAACUGACUGAUUAACUAACACAAACAGGCAAGGAAUCAACUAAAUUAUUAAAUUAGAAUAACUUAAUUAUACUAAUGAGGCUAACAUAAAAAGGAAGAUACUCAGAAACUUAACUAUAACAUUGAUAAAAACUCGACUAGAAAACACUAAUAAGUUUUCAACCAGAGAAAAAGGAGAAGAAAAGAAGAGGGAUGAAAAGUGAAUAAAAAACCACGAAUGGACAAAAAGAUAGAUAAAAACUCACCAAUCGAUCUCGAAGUUACACUUGAUGCCCUGAUUCACACGAAACUGAUGCUAAUCACUUGUUCUCUGUUAAGAACAAACAAACAACAUUAGUUUUGUAGUUAAUCAACCUUUUAGUCAUGAAAAACAAAGGGUUGAGUCAAUGCAUGCCACCAGAUUCGACAUGAAUUGAUUUUAAACUUUUAGGGCUCGAACUCGGAUUUAAAAUUCGAUACGUUCUAGCAAAAUUCGAGGGAAACAGAGUGGGGAUUUGGAACAAGGGGGUCAUGGCAGUUAUGUGGUAUCGAUUUGGGGUGUAACGGCGUCGCCGGACAGAUGUGGUCGAAUAAGGGCGGCGGAUUAGGGUUCAUAAACUUGCAUCUUUGAUCUGAGAUUCGAUGAACUAGGCUAUGAUUCGAGGGUAAAAGGCUGGAUAUCUGGGUUGAGGAGACAAAGAAAGUUCUAGGGUGUUAAUUUUGGGUGGAUUGGAGGCGGCGUCGAUGGACUCAAGGCGGUGGAAACUGGGCGGCGUCUCUAGGGUUCUAUAGAGACGAUAGAGUUCUGAGAAAUGAGAUGGGGG